RNAcentral lists this long non-coding RNA (298 nucleotides) under Calidris pugnax (ruff). Its description in RNAcentral is "lncRNA (ENSCPUG00000000351.1)". The record is from RNAcentral. Lineage: Eukaryota; Metazoa; Chordata; Aves; Charadriiformes; Scolopacidae.
GCAGCGCUCGGAACCGGCUGGCAGCGGGGAUGUCAUUAGCCCUGACACAAAAACACAAGGCGAGGCUUUUUGACGCUUGUUUUCCAGUUUUGACACAAGAGGGGAAACGUGAGAAAGGCAAAGAAGAGGCAGUAGUUGAAUCCGUAACAGAAAAUUUGGAGUGUGAAGGAGGAAAUAAACCGAACGCAAAGGAGCGUGCAGAUGGGAGCUAAACUACACACGCUUUCUGACGUGGUGCAGAUAAGGGGCCUUCUCAAGGAUUCCCCUGUGUCCUUCUUCCCCAGGAGCAGCAAGCCCA